This 262-nucleotide ribosomal RNA is filed under the name uncultured bacterium. RNAcentral's name for it is "partial 16S ribosomal RNA". It matches the Rfam family "Bacterial small subunit ribosomal RNA", at positions 57 to 305 of the family's 1533-position model. The record is from RNAcentral.
GCAAGUCGAGCGGAAACGGCAACAGUUAAUCUUUUGAUGAUUUGUUGGGCGUCGAUCGGCGGACGGGUUAGUAAUGCCUUGGAAAUUGCCUUUAUGUGGGGGAUAACCAUUUGAAACGAUGGCUAAUACCGUAUAAUGCCUACUGGCCAAAGAUGGGGACCUACGGGUUUAUCGCGUCAAGAUAUGCCUAGGUGGGAUUAGCUAGUUGGUGAGGUAAUGGCUCACCAAGGCGACGAUGCCUAGCUGGUCUGAGAGGAUGAUC